RNAcentral lists this ribosomal RNA (625 nucleotides) under uncultured bacterium. Its description in RNAcentral is "bacterial SSU rRNA". It matches the Rfam family "Bacterial small subunit ribosomal RNA", at positions 338 to 1432 of the family's 1533-position model. The record is from RNAcentral.
CCUACGGGAGGCAGCAGUGGGGAAUUUUGGACAAUGGGCGAAAGCCUGAUCCAGCAAUGCCGCGUGAGUGAAGAAGGCCUUCGGGUUGUAAAGCUCUUUUGUCAGGGAAGAAACGGUGAGAGCUAAUAUCUCUUGCUAAUGACGGUACCUGAAGAAUAAGCACCGGCUAACUACGUGCCAGCAGCCGCGGUAAUACGUAGGGUGCAAGCGUUAAUCGGAAUUACUGGGCGUAAAGCGUGCGCAGGCGGUUUUGUAAGUCUGUCGUGAAAUCCCCGGGCUCAACCUGGGAAUUGCGAUGGAGACUGCAAGGCUAGAAUCUGGCAGAGGGGGGUAGAAUUCCACGUGUAGCAGUGAAAUGCGUAGAGAUGUGGAGGAACACCGAUGGCGAAGGCAGCCCCCUGGGUCAAGAUUGACGCUCAUGCACGAAAGCGUAGGGGAGCAAACAGGAUUAGGAUACCCUGGUAGUCCACGCCCUAAACGAUGUCUACUAGUUGUCGGGUUUUAAUACUUGGUAACGCAGCUAACGCGUGAAGUAGACCGCCUGGGGAGUACGGUCGCAAGAUUAAAACGUCAAAGAGUAGUACGGCGCGAGAGACGACGACGACGACGACGACGGAGGAGGAGG